UUAGGGAGACCUACCCCAUGCGCACGGCGAAAGCAGUUACUCAUGAGGUCAUCCCAAGGUCGGUCGAAACUCUGUGCUGCUUUCAAACUAUAAUUGAGGUUGGGAAACGAGGGCUAUUAGCUCAGGUGGUUAGAGCGCACCCCUGAUAAGGGUGAGGUCCCUGGUUCGAGUCCAGGAUGGCCCACCUAGAAGAGUGUGGGGGUAUAGCUCAGUUGGUAGAGCGCUGCCUUUGCAAGGCAGAUGUCAGCGGUUCGAGUCCGCUUACCUCCACGUCAAAAGUUAAAUAAUUCAGCACCGGUUUCAGGUGAAGACAGGAUGCUGGGAUUAUGCCCAGUCAGGACCAUGAAAACUGCAUAAGAAAGCGAAGAAAACCAGGAAGGUAGAGUCUUUUACAGACAAAACUAGAUCCAAAAGAAGU
This 418-nucleotide transfer RNA is filed under the name cyanobacterium NQ1K_cl_15_3b. RNAcentral describes it as "16S-23S ribosomal RNA intergenic spacer". The stretch from base 198 to 270 matches the Rfam family "tRNA". The record is from RNAcentral. Lineage: Bacteria; Bacillati; Cyanobacteriota.